This 3284-nucleotide ribosomal RNA is filed under the name Grumichella flaveola. RNAcentral's name for it is "partial large subunit ribosomal RNA". Lineage: Eukaryota; Metazoa; Arthropoda; Insecta; Trichoptera; Leptoceridae. The record is from RNAcentral.
AUGUAGCGUUUGGUGGGAGUUUUUAACAUACACGCGCGGUCAUUAGUCACGGCCGCCAGUCCAAGUUCAUCUUGAACGGGGCCGCUUACCCGCAGAGGGUGCCAGGCCCGUGGUGACGGUGGCCGGCCGCGACGGUCUCCCUACCGAGAGUCGGGUUGCUUGAGAGUGCAGCCCCAAGCGGGUGGUAAACUCCAUCUAAGGCUAAAUACGACCGCGAGACCGAUAGCGAACAAGUACCGUGAGGGAAAGUUGAAAAGAACUUUGAAGAGAGAGUUAAAGAGUACGUGAAACCGUUCAGGGGUAAACCCGUGGAACUCGAACGAGCGAACGGGGAGAUCAUCGCCCUUCCGACGGCGGCCCCCGCCACCGUUGCACACCGGCGUCCGGGACGUGCGGCACUCGUGCCGUCGCCUCGGCGCCGGGUGGCGGUGUGCGAAAGCGCGCUAACGCGCGCCGGCGGCUCCCGGAGGGCGUGCACUUCUCCCUCAGUAUACAACACCGCGACCCGUCGCGCUGCGGUCGAACGCGCCGUGCGGUUGUCCCGCUCCCCAACGGGGGGYGGAGCCGCGGCGUUCGCCGGCCGCAGCUCGGCCGCCAUCAAGCAGCGGCCUCAGCGACGGUAGAGAACGAGGUUCGCGUCCGCCUACAGGGCGUCCGUACCGCUCCGGCGGCGCUGUCGGCGCGGCCCCCGGCGUCAUUAGCGUCGAUGGGUGUCGCGUCGCACCGGCGUCCGUCGUCAGGGGCGGUCUCUCGGACUGGACGCGUGCCGGUCUGCGGUGGUUCAGUUUCGGGCACUCACGGGACCCGUCUUGAAACACGGACCAAGGAGUCUAGCAUGUGCGCGAGUCAUUGGGACUUCAUACUGAACAACACACGAAACCCAGAGGCGAAGCGAAAGCGAAAGGCGGCACCUCGCCGUGCCGCGUCUCGAGGGAAGAUGCGCGCGCGUCUACGCACGCGCCGCCGCACUCCCGAGNNSUNNNNNNNNNNNNNNNNNNNNNNNNNNNNNNNNNNNNNNNNNNNNNNNNNNNNNNNNNNNNNNNNNNNNNNNNNNNNNNNNNNNNNNNNNNNNNNNNNNNNGAUGGAGGACCGAAGCGAUUCUGACGUGCAAAUCGAUCGUCGGAACUGGGUAUAGGGGCGAAAGACUAAUCGAACUAUCUAAUAGCUGGUUCCAUCCGAAGUUUCCCUCAGGAUAGCUGGCGCUCGGGAAACGUGCGCGGCGUUCACUCGCCCGGCGCAUUUUAUCAGUCUCAUCCGGUAAAGCGAAUGAUUAGAGGCAUUGGGGCCGAAAUGGCCUCAACCUAUUCUCAAACUUUAAAUGGGUGAGAUCUCCGUCUUGCUCGAAUGUGAAGUCGGAGCUCGGAUGUGAGUGCCAAGUGGGCCAAUUUUGGUAAGCAGAACUGGCGCUGUGGGAUGAACCAAACGUCGAGUUAAGGCGCCCAACGGACGCUCAUCGGAGACCAUAAAAGGCGUUGGUCGCUCAGGACAGCAGGACGGUGGCCAUGGAAGUCGGAAUCCGCUAAGGAGUGUGUAACAACUCACCUGCCGAAGCGACCAGCCCUGAAAAUGGAUGGCGCUGUAGCGUCCGGCCUAUACUCGACCGUCGCAGGCAGAGGGGUCGGCUUCGGCCGUCUUGAGGCCGCGACGAGUAGGAUGGUCGCGGCGGUGAGCGCAGAAGGGUCUGGGCGUGAGCCCGCCUGGAGCCGCCGUCGGCGCAGAUCUUGGUGGUAGUAGCAAAUACUCAAGCGAGGUCCUUGAGGGCUGAUGUGGAGAAGGGUUUCGCGUUAACAGCCGUUGCACGCGAGUUAGUCGAUCCUAAGCCCUAGGAGAAAUCCGAUGUAGAUGAUGGUGUAAAGUUUCGAACGAUUCUUUCUUUGAACGCAUAUAUCAAUUACACCCAUCGGGCGAAAGGGAAUCCGGUUGCAGUUCCGGAACCCGGCAGCGGAACCGUCUUAUCAAAUCGUUCCCUCUUAUGAGAGUUCGUCGGGGUGACCCAAAGUGGCCCGAAGACGCCGACGGGAGAUCCGGAGAGAGUUAUCUUUUCUGCCUGAGCGUCACCCGUCAGCCCUGGAAUCCCAUAGCGGGGAGAUAGGGCUCGGUACGCGAAGAGCAUCGCCGAUGCGGCGGUGUCCGGAUCGGCCCCUCGGACCUUGAAAAUUCGGGUGAGGGCAACGCGGAGAUGUCGCGCCGGCUCGUACCCAUAUCCGCAGCAGGUCUCCAAGGUGAAUAGCCUCUAGCCGAUAGAAUAAUGUAGGUAAGGGAAGUCGGCAAGUUGGAUCCGUAACUUCGGGAUAAGGAUUGGCUCUGAGGGCCGUGGCGCGUCGGGCCUGGUCGGGAAGAGGGAACCGGCCGGAGCGACGGAGGCCGGGCAGGCGCUCGCGUGCCGUCCGCAAGGGCGGUGCGCGCUGCGGUCUGUCACCCGGCGCCUCGCGCUGGCUACCCCUCGGAUCUUCCUCGCUGCACGGGCGCGGGCGUGCGUUCGCGCGCCGCCCGCCGCCUUCACGGCCGCCGGACGACGGUCAGCUCAGAACUGGCACGGACAAGGGGAAUCCGACUGUCUAAUUAAAACAAAGCAUUGCGAUGGCCCUCGCGGGUGUUGACGCAAUGUGAUUUCUGCCCAGUGCUCUGAAUGUCAACGUGAAGAGAUUCAAUUAAGCGCGGGUAAACGGCGGGAGUAACUAUGACUCUCUUAAGGUAGCCAAAUGCCUCGUCAUCUAAUUAGUGACGCGCAUGAAUGGAUUAACGAGAUUCCCUCUGUCCCUAUCUACUAUCUAGCGAAACCACUGCCAAGGGAACGGGCUUGGGAAAAUCAGCGGGGAAAGAAGACCCUGUUGAGCUUGACUCUAGUCUGGUAUUGUAAGGUGACAUGAGGGGUGUAGAAUAAGUGGGAGACCGUCGUCUUCGGGCGGCGGCCGAACGUGAAAUACCACUACUUUCAUCGUUUCGUUACUUACUCAGUUGGGCGGAGGGCGUGCGCCGGCCGUCACGGUCGCGACGCACGGGUUUUUCGCACCAAACGUGUACGGGGCGGCGAGCCGUCCGCGUAACCGAGCGCCGUUCGGGCCGCGUUCGCCGUCGGCGUCCCCUCGGGGGCGUCGGCGCGUGCGCGCGCCCUGCGGUCGCGAGGCCGCGGCGUCGCCGCGUUCACCCCGCGUGAUCCGUUCUGAGGACACUGCCAGGCGGGGAGUUUGACUGGGGCGGUACAUCUGUCAAAUGAUAACGCAGGUGUCCUAAGACCAGCUCAGCGAGGACGGAAAUCUCGCGUCGAGCAAAAGGGCAAAAGC